UCUGAGGCUACGCAGGACUCUGACAGAAGAAUACGGCCAGGGGACUUACUGAGAGGUCCACAACUGUCUUGAUGGCCUUUUCUUUUCUCUUUAUGAAGUCAUCAUCCUACAAGACAAAACAGAGCGAUUAAACAAAUCCCAAGGGAAAAUUAAAACUCAAGUGGACCACUCAGAUAUGUCUUAUAAAUUGACUUCUCAUCUCAUCACUACUUUGCCUGACGAAGUCUCAAUUUUCGAACAAAUUGUAAUAUAUUCUCCAUGGGAAAAGGCUACAAACCCUGCAGAUGGCUCCAACAUAGAUCCCUACACAGCCAGUAAGAAAAAGGGGGUCAUAAGGAAUAGUGCUUAAGACGAGAGUUCUCAUUUCAAAUCCUCUUAAGCACUGAAACCUCAGCUCGUUUCACCAGCCACUGGGGAAGAAAGUGAAAAGACAAGAGUUGCUAAGGACAACAUCCCACUGAAGUGAAGGCCAGUUCAGACAUGGCCCAACUCAUGAACUCAAAUCAGCAUAGUUGAACUGACUAGGUGAUAAGAAGCUAUCAACACAUGCUGUUCUAUAGGAAAAGCAACCAGCUGGGUAUCCAAGAUGUUAAGAUCCAAUGGGACCUAGUGCUGAGUAGCCGUGCAGGAGCUUUAAAGCCUUACUUCACAUCCUUGAGCCUCAGUUUUCCUUUCUGUAAAAGUAUAUCAGUUCCCUUCACCUCACAGAGCUAACAUGGGAGUAAAUGAAAUCACAAGUAGUAGAGUGAUUUGUAAACACCUGAAGCACAAAACAAACAGAGCUAUCUCCCAACUUCCUGGUCCUACUGGCAGAUCUUCAUGUAAAUCUCUUUUUCUUGUGCUCCUUACACGACAGACCAGGGAAAAGGGAGAGAACCACAGAGAAUGCUAGUGUAACUCCCCAUUUGACAAGUGAAAAAAUGUCCAAAAUACUCAGAUUUGACAAUGGUGCAUACUGAGUACGCAGUUGAAGGCACUGGUUUAUCCUGACAUUCAUAACAUUCUCUCUUAAUCCUCACAAUGUCGGAUGGUACUGGCUGAGUUUUACUGAACCUGAAGUGCCGGGAGACUAUAUAACUUACUCAUGGAUCCAUAGCUAGCCAGCUGCAAAGCUGGGAGUCACAACUCAAGAGACUAUUCUACACCGAAGACUGGACAAAUGGUUUCAUGAAAUGUUUCCCAGCUUUGUUAGGCUGAUACCCAGAAACAGCUGCUCUUCACUUCUCCCAACUGAAAACUCCAGUUAUUAUCAUUAAAACACCACCCUGCAGAAGAUCCACCUGCAGAAGAUCCACCCGCCCUGAGGGUAAAAACCUGCAGAAGAUCCACCCGCUCUGAGGGUAAAACUUUGGCUGGUAAAAGAUAUGCUGAAUAAAGGAACACCAGGUAUAUCCCCUGAUGCCACAAGCUCAUUGCCAAGGAGUAGAUGACAUUGGCUACAUCACCACAAUAGAUUCUCUGAAAAUUCAGCAAGUGUCACACAGAAGUAUGUGGACAGUGUUGUUGGAGUCACAAAUGGGUCCGCGGUCCUCAACGGGCUGUUAAUCUUCAUAGCUGAGGGAGACACAUGCCCAAGUAGUAUAUACUACUCAUCACAUGCUGAAGGAAUCCAGGGAAAAGGAAGAAAGACCUCCACUGAUAGUACUGUGGAAUAUUGGGUUGGACGGAUUUAAAGUAGAACGUGGGAGACCAGACAGAAGUCUACAGCAAAAGGCCAGGCAAAAACUUGAUGAGAGCCUAGAAUACAGAAGUGGCAAAAAAGAAAACUUCAAAUGUCACAGUACAAAUCCUAUUGUUCACUAUCCUGGGUCCCAUCCCAGGCAACGUGCAUGUAAGAUUUUACCUAAUAC
This 1850-nucleotide long non-coding RNA is filed under the name Homo sapiens (human). RNAcentral's name for it is "HSALNT0305339". The record is from RNAcentral. Lineage: Eukaryota; Metazoa; Chordata; Mammalia; Primates; Hominidae.